ACUCCUGCGGGAGGCAGCAGUGGGGAAUUUUGGACAAUGGGCGAAAGCCUGAUCCAGCAAUGCCGCGUGAGUGAAGAAGGCCUUCGGGUUGUAAAGCUCUUUUGUCAGGGAAGAAACGGUGAGAGCUAAUAUCUUUUGCUAAUGACGGUACCUGAAGAAUAAGCACCGGCUAACUACGUGCCAGCAGCCGCGGUAAUACGUAGGGUGCAAGCGUUAAUCGGCAUUACUGGGCGUAAAGCGUGCGCAGGCGGUUUUGUAAGUCUGAUGUGAAAUCCCCGGGCUCAACCUGGGAAUUGCAUUGGAGACUGCAAGGCUAGAAUCUGGCAGAGGGGGGUAGAAUUCCACGUGUAGCAGUGAAAUGCGUAGUUAUGUGGAGGAACACCGAUGGCGAAGGCAGCCCCCUGGGUCAAGAUUGACGCUCAUGCACGAAAGCGUGGGGAGCAAACAGGAUUAGAAACCCCUGUAGUCC
This 469-nucleotide ribosomal RNA is filed under the name uncultured organism. RNAcentral's name for it is "partial 16S ribosomal RNA". It matches the Rfam family "Bacterial small subunit ribosomal RNA", at positions 335 to 796 of the family's 1533-position model. The record is from RNAcentral.